Long non-coding RNA from Panicum virgatum (switchgrass), 4204 nucleotides. RefSeq lists it as uncharacterized. The record is from RefSeq and is a predicted model, not a curated record. The transcript has 2 exons. NCBI's taxonomy places the organism in Eukaryota, Viridiplantae, Streptophyta, Magnoliopsida, Poales, Poaceae.
CCACCACUCGCCGAGCAGUCGCCGUGCCUGCCACGCCUCCUCUUCCUCCCACUGCCCGCGCGAGCCACUGAGCGAGCGAGCAAUUCGGGAAGCUCCUCGCCUCGCGUCUCCCCGCCGCCGCGCCGCCUCGGACUCGCUUGGUGCAGAUCGGGACCCGACGCCCGCGCCGCCGGGACGGAUCCCGCCUUGCACCAAGUGAAUCGGAGCCGGCACAGCGAUAACUGCAGCUCGCCCGCCCGCCCCGGCCCCCCCGGGCCGCGCCGCCGCCGCCCGCGCUACUUGAUUACCGAGUUGUUGGUUUAGCCCGCUUGUUGCCUGCGUUUCUAGGAUCGGCGAUGGUUGUUGGUUGCUGUGAUUCUCUCUGUCGCCGUGGAGGCCGUGGAGGUUGAUGGCAGGGUGCCUUGCGGAUCUCUGCCCAGGUUCAGCAUCAAUCCGGAUCUGGAUCUGGCGCUUAAUUUCGGUAGUAUCAUCCAAUUGAUUGGAUGAUCCGUUCUAAUAGGCAGGACCCAUCCGUUUAGUAGAUUACUUAUCUUUUUAUCACGGCAAUUUUCUGUCCAUAACGCUUACUGCAAUUUCUCAUGGCACAGGGGAGGCUUGGAUUUCUUGCGUGAGCGGUAAAAUUGGGUCGCCGAGAUGCCAUGUCUAGAUGGUCUCGGCUAGAUUGGGCUGCAUAUAUAGAGAUUAAUUGAUCUAGUUGUUAUCUGAUCCCUUUUACUGCUAGGGAUGCACUGUGAGCCCUGCAAGGUUGAAAUUAUGGCGCAGCAAGCAUUUAAGUGCUCGCGUAUGCUUUAUUGAGCUCAUUCGCUGUAGUCUGCAGAGUGGCCUUUGUGGCACAUGCUAAUUCUGGAAAUUAUGAUACCUGACAAUAUGUUUCUGACUAGCUUUAUUCAUGCCAAAUUCAGUUGAGUUGAUUGAAUGAUUCUCAUAUGUAUUGCCGUUGUUAGUGGUUUACGCCAGAUCCAUGAGGCUUGUAUAGGAGUUAACGUGAGUAAAUGCAUAUAGCCCAAAUAAGCCUAAUCCAGGUCAAAUGGGCUACUAGUUUUGGGUUUGCUCUGCCCGAAUGUUUAGAACCUAACCCACAAGACCAGACUUGGCCAACAUGGUUUAAUUUGGCGGGAUAAAUACGGAGAGUGAAGCUCAAAUGCAAUCAGAAAGAAAAAAAAACAGUUCCUUUUAGUUUGAUAUGAAAAAAAGGAAACUAGUCCCAACUGUAUGAGUAAAGGAAGUGGAGCAAGUAACGGAAGCUUAACGGGUUUUUUUUAUUGUUACUUUGUGGAUAUCUGAUUACAUAGUAAUUAUCUCAUUUACUUGUUUGGCUGGCUUACUUUGCUUGAUUUGCUGUAACCUAUUAUUGGAGUUAGUUACAAAUUACAAUUCUGAGACAGCCAAUUGUUCAACCCAUUGAAAUAGAGACCUAAAGAGUAAAGCCUGGUGCGCCAAACAAGCUGAGCCUGGCAAAGGCUAGUUUGAAAUUAAUUCCAAUUCCUAAACUAGGGUUAUUAUUAGCUAUAUAUGCUUAACAGCUUGAUGACAAACUACUUUCACGGUUUAUAACUUUAUUUAUUGUAUCAGUUAUGAUUGAAAUAUUAGCCCUAUAUGUGUCUAAGUAGUCUGCUAACGUAAUGAAUGCAUAUGGCGGCAUGCCGCAUAAUUGUACCUUGCCCUAUUAUUCUACAUUCAGUUGGAAGGUUACUUUUUUUUUGUAGAUUAUUCAUGGUUUCAUUUGACGUUGCAACUUCAUUCUGGCGGACAUUGCAGAACAUUCCAUUCUUCAAGAAAGUUUCAACUUUACCUGUGAUGACAAUGAACAAUUGAAAGCAGCUACGAUGGGAUAGUUUGAGGUUCAAUCCUUUUGGGGUCAUUUGAUUCUUGAUGGUUAUGCAUAUGUAAUUCUGUAUCAAUUUCUAUAUAUGGGAAAUAUAUGAGUUGAUUUUUCUGGAUGGAUGUUGUGAUCUGCUUUGUUUAAAUGGUACUCCUAUAUCUAAAAUAAUUUCUGAUAAAUGGAUAAGUUUCAGGAUUUGGUUCAACUGUAGUGCCACUGAUUGGUCUAGUUGUGUAGGUAGCUUCCUAGAUGGACCUUUUUCUAUAAACUACAUCGGUACCAACCAACUUUCCUUGUUACAUACGACUUCCUAUGAGGUGAUGUCUAGAGGAUCGUUUUUGGAUGAAACCUAGAGCCUAGAAUCAUGGUGAAAUUGUUGCAUGCAUCAGUACUACUUAGCACCAUGAAAGCUAGGAUUUGCAGUGGAAAAACUGUUUCUGGGGCAAACGGGAAAUAUGGUUUGUUUCUAUUAUUAGCUGGAAACUCCACCCAAUUUCCAGCCUCCUGAACCAGUCAGUUUUGAUAUGUGGAUUUUCCAAAUCUGAUUUCCUCUUUGAUUUAAAGUUAUACUCGUUUCAGUCCGGUUGGCAAUCUGACUCGUUUCAGUUUGUGCCUGUGAACUGCUCCUAAUUGCCAGCCCCAAACUAGUCUGGUUUGGGAUCUGAAAUAUCACAUAUUUUUCUCUACCAAGAUUUAAAGUUUGAUGCAGACAUUAGAAAUAACUUUGAGGUGUUUUGGGGCACUAGGUUAGGGUAUUAGGGGUACCAUUAUUCUCAUGGUUUGGCUGAAAAAGCAGGGCUGACCAGUCAGUUACUACAUUCUUUUAACCUGGCAGCAUCAUGCUUAGGAUUUAAGCUAAGACUCGUAUAAUUGUGAUUCCAGUUGUCGGAUCCAUAUCAUUACGGAAAUAAUGAUGUGCUAUUUCUACUGAAACAGAUCCAUGUAGUGGGAGCUUGUUAGAGCUCUUUUUUUUCAUCAGAGGACAAAUAUUUUUAACUGCUAUAGGUGUUCAAACAUCUUUUUUUUUUUAAGAAAUGCAUCGAAACAUCUUGUCCAUGAACUUAGCAAACUCAACUUUCAUCAUGAUUUUGAGCAUACUACUAUAUAUAGUUGUUGAUGUUGUAGUGCCCAAGUGGGCAUUGGGUUCUUUUUUUUUUACCUUUGAAAAGAGGGAGUCAGUGAUUAGGUGUCCAGGAAUAUAUGCUCGGCGAUCAAGAUUCUUUUUCCGUCAGGAAGAGGGGGGAAGAGACAAAGUAGCCGAUUGGCACUAGGUGGCCGACUGGUCGUCCAUGGCUGGCAUUUGAACUUGUUCCAGGAAAAGGGGAUUCCCUCCAUCUUUGAGCUGGAGCUGAUGAGCGAGGUGGAGUAAUUUUUAGUGGUUGGAAUAUUUCCGCUAAAGCCACGACAGCCGCCCAGGAGAACAUGUUCUGAAAAGCUGUCGAGGAAUAUUAAUAUCCGAGCCUGAUACCGCCUGGAUUGACUUGAAUGAAUGAGCAGAAGCAGAGCAUGGUGGAAUUCCAGCUCCGGGUAGAUUGUACAUUGGUACCGUGGUCCAGAUUGGUGGCGGUAAAAAAUUUCACUGUUUUACAGUCUUCAUAUGUUCUCAGACGCAGACCAUGAUGGUCAAUAUUUUGUUUCAUCCUGUCGUAAUUUAGUUAUGAUAAGCAUGGUGGCUGUAGAAACCUUGCUCCAUCCUGCUGUAAUUUUCAGUUCAUGAUGAACACAUUGCUAAUGGAUUUACUUUCUCCAGUAGGAGCUAGAUCAACAUAAAGUUGUUAUUUUUCAUGUGGCGCUGGGACAUGCAUGGCACAACUUGAGCAAAUGGUUCUCUGUUCCUCGUAGUUUUAGAAUCAAUGGUUGGGUCAGUGGAAUUCUGGAAUCGUUUUGAUAAGCUGUGGUUACAGCUGAACCAUGAUCCUGCUGGGCACUGUACAAAGCCGCAGCUCAGCCAGGGGGAAGGGAAGGAAUACAUGACAAACUUGACAAGGACGCGGUACUUGAUGGGAAAUCUGUACGCAGCUGCGACUGCGAUCAAACAUGGUGGGCUCUGCUGCUCAGUUGAUCGAGCUGGUGUCCUUUGGCCUCCAGCGCGUGAAAAGCCUAGGCUGCUGCUCGUGCUCAUCAGGCCUGGUCCCCUGCCUCCCAUGCAAAAGCUUUCAACUCAGCCGCUCCCCUUUCAUUCGGAUCUGUGAACUCCAUGGGAAAUUAUCUUCCGGAGAUGUUGCUGUUCCCCUCAAGAUUACUGUGCCCCCUUCUGUUUCAUCCUGUGCAGGUGUUGCCCCUGUCAUAGCCUGUGCAGUUGUCUAGAUAGUCUCAGUGAAAUGGAAUGAAAAAAAAACUCGUUGGUUUGUAUACAAAUGGUUUACUUUGCCGGCUUCAAAA